GGCUGCCUCUCUGAUCCGUAACCAGGGGCGUCACACUGUCGGGGUUCAGGACAGCCACUGCAGAACCCAUUAAAUGUGGCAACUUCAUCCCUGUUAAAUCCUGCUGGGCUUCGGGGCUGCUCUGCUGUUCCUCACAUGGCUCUCCAGUUUAUCCUGACUGUCUCCUCCACACAUGCGGGAAGGAGUGUGGAAGGGAAAACGGACUCGUCCAGCUCAUAGAUAGCAUUGCUGUGGGUAUUAAAUAAGGACACAGCAUAAAAUGUAUUUUAUUUCAGGCUCAGAAGAAUCAGGGCCCCAUCCUGCCACCAUCCUUUCCUUUUGGCAGCAUCCUCUUGGCUCAAUAAUCGUCAUCGUCAUUCCCUCACCUGACCCAAGGAAUUCCAGUGGGAAUAGCAGGUGCAUAGCAGGCAAUAACGCCCGACAGUGCUUGGUGUUACCCCCAGAGCCUGGAAUGGGGGAACUGGGGCUGCCAGCUGGGGGGAGACUGGCUCCUGAUCCAGGGCUCCCGCUCCAGGGGUGCUCCCAACCCAUGAGCACGGCUCCAGGCGGCCGGGCUGGGGCUCUGCUCCCGGGCAUUGCUGUGAGGAGCCGCCUCAGCCUGCAGGUGAUGCGGGGUCCAGCUGCCAUCCAGCUGUGGACCUCACAACAUUCCCAUGCUCCUGUUGCUGCUCCAAGUGGCCAGAGAGUUAAUGAAUGGCAAUUCUGAUUAAGCACAGGAGCACCCCGAAAGGAGCUGCUCCUGCAUGACCUCACCCUUUUUCCCCAGCUGGACGCCAGGCAGGAACAUCCUGGAGCGCAGGGCAAUAGCUGUAAUGGCUGUCCUUUGCCAGAUGUGUGACCGAGAGCAGAUGUGACAGAUAAGCCAAGAAGGAGCGCGUGUCAGCUCACCCAAGGGCUGGGAGCGCGGCCCCCGCUCGCUCCCGCACCGCUCCCGACCUGCUUGGAAAGCCAGGCACGCAGGGCUUGCGGGGGGUUGAUAAAUCAGCGGCUCCCUCGCAGCAUGGGGGAUGUUCUGCUGAAAAAAUAAAGCGCCGAAAGAAAGGGUGACCUGACAGAUGCCAGGAGAAGUUACGGAGCCAGGCUGCGGAUGAUGGAUGCUGCGGGUGCGAACAGGAGAUGUGAGACACGACACCGGCUCCGGGAAAGGCAAAGCUGGUGAGGGUUGGUUCCCGAAGGCACAACUGGAGUGCCAAAGACCCCGUGGAAAGGGGACACGCUGCUUCCAGGAGGUGCUCAGAUGAUCUCCAAGGCAUCCCUGAGAAUGACUCCAAGGACUCAGAGCUGCCUACAGACCAGUGGGGAUCCCAGGGCGUCCCCUUAAAACCCAUGGAAAAAACGAGGAAGCAGGCACUGGUGUGUUUGAGAGGUCACUGUUAUACCGGGGGUGAAGAGGGACACUGAGAAGGGGCAGGCGAGCAGUAAAAUUGGGAUGAAAUCCUGCUGUGGGCGUGGAGCCGUGGUGGUGGGAUGUGGGCUGUCCUGACAGGGAUGUUUGUGCCGAUCGGUGCCCAAGUGCACAUGCUGCUCCUACACUCCCAGAGCCCCAAAAUCACACAUUGUCUGGUGGGAAAAUCCCCAAGGGGAGGUCCUGCCCCUGUGCUGAGGGCGCUCAGAGCGAGCCACCAGAGCAGCUCUACCCCGUGUUUCCCUCUUCCCUCCAGUGAAGUUGUUUGGUGCCGGCGUCUCCCAGACUGGAGCGGCUCUCGGGGGAUUGGGGCAGGAGCUGGCACAUGUCACUCGUGCUUUAUGUAAGGUCUGGCUGCCGUUGCUAUUUUUAGGCCCGUUAAUAAAAAGGAUUGUUCAUCAUUAUAGCGGCUUAGCAGGCACAAAUCGCAGCCCCGGCGAAUCUUCGGGGGAAGUGAGGUGAUUCAUCCCACUAAUCCCCGCUGCAAAGUCCCUAAAUCUCAGCUCCAGUAAGUGGGUUGGAGGCUGAGACCUCUGGGUUCCUCUCUCCGCUUGCUUCUUGGGAUGUCAUAUUUCCUGGUUUUGUUCCUAUUUACCCCCCAAAGCCAGACCCUGAGCCCUACAGCUCCACCUAAACCUGAGCAGUCUAAAUAAGCACGGGAAGGGAAAGCUUCUCUUUUCCCUUGGAAUAGAAAAAUAACCAUGAAAAAUGCUUUGUCCUGGAAGCAGCACCAGCAGUGAAUUAUCCCGGCAGCUGGACAGAAAGGGUGGGAGGUGGGAAUGGGGCUCCCUCCUUCCAGGGGAACACGGACAGCCAAGCACGGGCCGGAGCUGGGAUGGCUCAGGGAGGGAGGAAGCACAAGGAACGUGGGGUUACUCUGGAAUGAACAGGCAGGCGAUGGAAUUUGCACAAACACAGCCACUAUCCAGCACUGUGGAAUUUGGAAUCUCAAUGAACGAAGGAAGAUCACGGAAUCACAGAAUCUCCUGAGCUGGAAGGGACCCACAAGGAGCAGCAGAGUCCAGCUCCUGAUUUAUUCUGGGUUCUCAAUCUCCAUCUAUUAUUCCCACCAAAAAAAGAGAUGAGCUCUUCAGUGAGAAAGGCGGAGAGGGACAAGGAGAAUGAAAGUUCUUGGAAUAUUGCGAGUAUGUCAAGCCCACAGGGACCUGAGGAUGUUCCCCUUGGCACCGAGGCAGAUCAGUGAUUAAAUGACUUGAGGUUGUCUCCAAGGCUCUUCUUGGUAGAGAUAUCUGAGUUUUCCGCUCACCUUCCAGCUUCCCAGCAGCAUCUCCUUGCUGUGUCCACAGGGACCCUCCCCAUAGGGAAUGCCAUGGGGGGAAAAUCCACCAGUGUCCCUCGAAUUCCCUUUCUGCCCCACCCACCCAGCAGGGCUGUGGGGUCACUCUCUUGACCUCGGGAAUACAAAGGGAAUUUCUGGGAAAUCCUUUCCUACUGAACCCCAUGGCUGUGGAGAUCUUCCCACUCCAGCCCUGCCCCUCCAUCUUCCUCACGGCGUUCCAGCCAGGAUUAAAUUAGGAUUACAUUUCUCAGCCUCCGAAAAAAGCCCAGGAAAGGAUGAAAUGGGGGAUUAACAGUCUGGGGAAAUCUGCUGGUUGCUCAAAGAUCUUGACCGGGUAAUAUGGAGAUUUUGGGAAAUUAGGAGUUUGAAGUGCUGCUUGCAGCAGCCUGAGCUGGGCUUACAGCUAAACCCCCUAAUCCCUUGGAUUCCCAAGUCCAUGUGAAGAGCUGGAAGGUGCUGCAGGAUUCCUCUUUUUCCCAGAGCUGUGUACUUUUUACGGGAUGCUGUAUUUCCCUGUGUGCUGGCUGUGAGCAGUCAGGGUCUCCUGGUGAGGCUUGGAGCAACCUGGGAUAGUGAAAGGUGUCCCUGCCCAUGGAUGGGGUGGAAUGAGAUGAUCCUUAAAAUCCCCUCAACUUAAACCAUUCUGGGAUUCCGUGGCUCUGUGACCUAAAUCCAUCCCCAAUCCAUGAACUGGUUAAACCCUCCUUUGCCUCAUUACCCGCGGCUGGAAUGUGGCACAUUCCACGAUUCACCACCAUAACAACAAACAACAAUCAACAACAGCAUUCUACUCCCCGAGUUCCACAAAAAGGGGAUUCCUGCCGAUGUCUCGUGGCUGGGAAAUGAGGCAGAAAGUGUUAACAGGAGAGCAGGUCUGAGUCCGGGAGCGGCUCCGCUCCUGCUCGGGAGCGCAGCUGGGAGCCGGCACAGCCAUGCAUCUUUAUUAGCAGCCAUCCCGGGCAGCUGCGCGCCGAGCGGGAAGGACGCGGCAAUUACUCUGCCGUACCUGUCCCAGGGACAGGUGUGCGGUGCCAGCAGUGGUUCUCUGGCUCGCUGCAGCUCCCCGAGAUGGAUGGAAAUCAUUACACUUCCGCCGAGUCAGCACAACAACACUGAUGCCGCAUGAUCCGGCUGGUGGUUUUUCCAGGGGGGAAUACAGACCAGGAGCUUGCUGGAAAACCAAGGGCACUGCUCAAUAAAUCUCUUACUUAAAGAUUUGGGGGAGGGUUUUAUAUUUAAUGACGAUUUUCCAGUCUUUUGUCACCCAGGCCAUCCCAUGCUUAGACGAUGGGACUUUCUCCAACAGGACACGUGGGAAAGUAGAUAGGAAUUAGGAAAAGGUGGGAAUUAAGAAAGAAUGGGUUGCAUUAGGCCAUGGUAGAAACAGCUACGUUUGGAAUUAAAGUGGCAUUAAUUGGGAAUAACUUAAUUUUCUGAGAGUGAAACUGAAUUAAAUCCAUUCCAAAGUGCAGUCGGGAUGUGCUCUAAGAAACACUGUGGCUUGGGAUACGAUCACUUAAUAAACCACAUUCCCUCAA
Corvus hawaiiensis (hawaiian crow) is the source of this 4243-nucleotide long non-coding RNA. RefSeq lists it as uncharacterized. The record is from RefSeq and is a predicted model, not a curated record. The transcript is spliced from 2 exons. NCBI's taxonomy places the organism in Eukaryota, Metazoa, Chordata, Aves, Passeriformes, Corvidae.